This 655-nucleotide ribosomal RNA is filed under the name uncultured archaeon. RNAcentral's name for it is "bacterial SSU rRNA". It matches the Rfam family "Archaeal small subunit ribosomal RNA", at positions 185 to 842 of the family's 1478-position model. The record is from RNAcentral.
GGAUGAAAGCUCCGGCGGCGUAGGAUAGCUCUGCGGCCUAUCAGGUCGUAGCGAGGGUAACGUCCUCGCUAGCCUUCGACGGGUAUGGGUGUUGGGAGACAUCGCCCAGAGAUGGAUUCUGAGACACGAAUCCAGGUCCUACGGGACGCAGCAGGCGCGAAAACUGCACAAUGUGGGAAACCACGAUGCGGGAAACCCAAGUGCCAGCACUAUGUGUUGGCUGUCCUCGACUGUUUGUAGGUCGGGAAGAAAGAGCUGGGUAAGACGGGUGCCAGCCGCCGCGGUAAUACCCGCAGCUCAAGUGGUGGUCAUUAUUAUUGGGCUUAAAGCGUCCGUAGCUGGCCUGUUAGAUGCCUGGGUAAAUCGAUGCGCUCAACGCAUCGAAUUCCGGGUAGACCGGCAGGCUCGAGACCGGGAGAGGUGUAGGCUACUCGGGGGGUAGGGGUAAAAUCCUGUAAUCCUUCGGGGAGGACCAGUGGCGAAGGCGCUACACUAGAACGGCUCUGACAGUGAGGGACGAAGCCCUGGGGCGCAAACCGGAUUAGAUACCCGGGUAGUCCAGGGUGUAAACGCUGCAGACUUGGUGUCGGUGAUCCUACGAGGGUUGCCGGUGCCGUAGAGAAAUUGUUUAGUCUGCCGCCUGGGGAGUACGGUC